This is a long non-coding RNA of Daphnia pulicaria, 2139 nucleotides long. RefSeq lists it as uncharacterized. The record is from RefSeq and is a predicted model, not a curated record. The transcript is spliced from 6 exons. NCBI's taxonomy places the organism in Eukaryota, Metazoa, Arthropoda, Branchiopoda, Diplostraca, Daphniidae.
UGCCGUUCUCAGUGCCGAAUUUGUCUUUUUUCAUUUAAGCAAAUUAUUGGUGCCGAAACGUCUGGACACCCAUUAUUUUACAACCCAUUUCCUAUAUUCCUUCGACAGAGUUUAGAAGAGCAUCACCACGCAUUCAUAAUACGCGAAUUAGGGUAUCAACAUCACACAACACUUGACAACAGGAAUGGAGAAAGAAUUAUCCUCUUCAGUCCACCUAGAAUUGGGAAUGAAGAAAAAUAGAAAUUCUGGACAAGAAACAGAGGUUUCCCAUGGACAUGUUAUUCCCAAUUCCGGAAUUACACGUGCCCCACGAGUGAUACGCGAUGGCAAAGUGGCCGUCAUCUAUCAGCCCAAUCACGGUAUUGGUUGGUACUCAGUACAUAAGAUUGAAGCCCUUCUUUUUGCUCCCGAGAUUGUUUUCAUGAUUGAACAAGAAGAGUCAGGUUCGAAAGUCCACGAGUAUUGCUGCAGCAUGAAGUACGGCAGUGCUGUGAAUCCUGUGUUAGAUAUUAUGUGUCAUGGUCUCAGCAUCAAUUGGGUGCCCGUUUCGGAAGAGUUUCGAAUCCACGAGUAUGACGGAAGUGAACAAAUUGUUUUAAAAUCUACUGAUCAAUGGAUUAUUGCUUAAACCAUGCUCAUUUGAUUGUACAAGAUUAACGUUUGAAUAUAAAUAAUUCAGCAACGUCAUGUGUGCGUUGUAAAUUAGGUUGAUAAAUUUUGUAAUAACAAUUCUAAUUAUCCCCAUCGCCCAUGUCAAAUAACACCCAGCCCGUAGUGGCGUAAUAAAAAAAAAAUUAACAAAAAUUAAACACCAGUGAUGACAUCACUAAUAGCCAAGUGCAAUCGAACGUUUUCACGAUGAGUUUUCACGAUGAAAUACACUUAAAUGUGUUAAGUCUUCUUUAUCGAAAAUAGAUGGCGUAUGAUUAUUGUUUUUUUUAAUAGUUGUCUGCUAAUAGGUAUUUUAAUUUGAACUAAGCCUUAAUGAAAAUUGAAAAAAAAAAGAUUUUUUGUAGAUUUUUAAAAUCACAAAUGUAAUUUUUUUCAAACUUGUGUACGUCAUAUGCUUUUUAAUAACACAGCCACGUCUGAGCUUCAUUGCUGUCAUGCAUGUGGUUUUGUUUCAGCCAGCUCUGGUGAAAGUGAAUUUGGAGCUGCUGCAUGUAGUCUAUGGAGCAGGUGUCGUUCUGAAGUGUGCAAGCAUUACCUAAAGUGCAACAGCAAUUGAAGAAUUCUCGAAAUGGUCACAACUUCACCUCUGAUCUAACUUUUGUCCGUUUUAAAGAAUUUUCUGUUGCUUGGAUUCAAUCUAAAUUUCAACUCAAAAUUUGACUUGGUGGCAAUGGUAUGCAUCAGACUGCUAUGCACAGUCUACCGAUCUGGUGUGUCAUCCUGAAACUUAUAAGCCAGACCUGAAGGUGAAUUGCAAGAAGACUUCUUGAAAUGGUUUUUCAAUAACAGCCAGGUAAAAUCUCUUCUUCAUUGCUGUCUCUAACACAACACAGUAUGGUUUUUUGGUUUCGGCCAGCCGGUGCAAGACUGCAAGAUGUUGUCUAAUCAGGUUCUACUGUUGCAUGGAGUCUGUGAUGCCGCUGGUGAUCUGAAAAAUAUUGUUGCGCUUGUUUCUGAUAAGUGUGUUGUUUGAAGUAGUCUGUGAUGUAGACAAAUGCAUAUUAUCUUCUUUUCUGGGCUCCCUUCUGUUCUGUGAUCCCGUUUCCCUUUCUAUGACUAAUCGCUCCCCAGCAAAACUGAUCUGGCACUGCUCUCUUCUUCCUUGUCCAGGACAUCUCCCUGGGCACAGUCAAUCAAUGCAGUCUCCCCCUGUCUUGAUAGACUGAAUUUUGCAUGGAAAAUUCAACAUUGAUAAUAUUAAGUUAAAGGUAAAAUUGAUAUUUGUGAUAGGGGAUGAUAAACAUGUACAUAAUAGUAUAAACAAGAUUUAAACAGCUGCAUUUUCAUUAUGAAAUCUAUUUAUUACAAAAUUAUUCAUACAUUAUAUUUCCCAACUGAAUAAUUUGUUUCUUUUCUAAUGUUUUUUUUUGUUUUUUAAAUUGAUUUACAUAAUGUACUGUACCAACCAAUUAAAUUAAACAUAAGAAUCGUAAUUUUGUUGGAUGGCAGAGGGCCUGUUGCUUUCUC